RNAcentral lists this small nuclear RNA (171 nucleotides) under Rosa chinensis. RNAcentral describes it as "sRNA RchiOBHm_Chr4g0391291". It matches the Rfam family "U1 spliceosomal RNA". From Rfam's summary of the family: U1 is a small nuclear RNA (snRNA) component of the spliceosome (involved in pre-mRNA splicing). Its 5' end forms complementary base pairs with the 5' splice junction, thus defining the 5' donor site of an intron. The record is from Rfam by way of RNAcentral. Lineage: Eukaryota; Viridiplantae; Streptophyta; Magnoliopsida; Rosales; Rosaceae.
AUACUGACCUGGACGGGGUCAAUGAGUGAUCAAGAAGACUCAUGGCCUAGGCUAGUGACCUCCAUUGCACUUCGGAAGGGUGCUUGCUUAAGGUCGUUAAGGUCUUCCCAAAGUGGGAGAGCCUACGUCAUAAUUUGAUGCACUGGGGGCUUGCUUUCGUGCAGCCCCUGC